GCAAGUCGAGGGGCAGCAUAACUACUUGUAGUUGAUGGCGACCGGCGCACGGGUGCGUAACGCGUAUAGAACCUACCUUUUACAGAGGGAUAGCCUUUAGAAAUGAAGAUUAAUACCUUAUGGUAUUAAGUACUGGCAUCAGUAUUUAAUUAAAGAUUUAUCGGUAAAAGAUGGCUAUGCGUCCUAUUAGCUAGAUGGUAAGGUAAUAGCUUACCAUGGCAACGAUAGGUAGGGGCCCUGAGAGGGGGAUC
RNAcentral lists this ribosomal RNA (251 nucleotides) under uncultured bacterium. Its description in RNAcentral is "partial 16S ribosomal RNA". It matches the Rfam family "Bacterial small subunit ribosomal RNA", at positions 57 to 305 of the family's 1533-position model. The record is from RNAcentral.